UCCUAGUUAACCUAGGCAGUCUCAUUAGAGUCCUCACCUUAAAUGUUAGCAACUAAUGAUAAGGGUUGCGCUCGUUGCGGGACUUAACCCAACACCUCACGGCACGAGCUGACGACAGCCAUGCAGCACCUAUAUAGAGGUCCUUACGGAAGAUAACAUUUCUACUAUCGUCCUCUACAUUUCGAGCCUGGGUAAGGUUCUUCGCGUUGCAUCGAAUUAAACCACAUGCUCCACUGCUUGUGCGGGCCCCCGUCAAUUCUUUUGAGUUUCAGCCUUGCGACUGUACUCCUCAGGCGGCAUACUUAACGCGUUAGCUCCGACACAGCUAGGGUUGAGCCCAGCUACAUCAAGUAUGCAUCGUUUACGGCAAGGACUAC
Molecule: unclassified non-coding RNA, 377 nt
Filed under: uncultured Chlamydiales bacterium
Lineage: Bacteria; Pseudomonadati; Chlamydiota; Chlamydiia; Chlamydiales
Description: contains 16S-23S intergenic spacer region
Source: RNAcentral